Molecule: ribosomal RNA, 210 nt
Filed under: uncultured bacterium
Lineage: Bacteria
Description: partial 16S ribosomal RNA
Rfam family: Bacterial small subunit ribosomal RNA
Source: RNAcentral
ACGCUCGACACCUACGUGAGGCAGCAGUCGGGAAUAUUGCGCAAUGGAGGAAACUCUGACGCAGUGACGCCGCGUGCAGGAAGAAGGUUUUCGGAUUGUAAACUGCUUUAGACAGGGAAGAAAGAAAUGACAGUACCUGUAGAAUAAGCUCCGGCUAACUACGUGCCAACAGCCGCCGGUAAGUACUGAGCGGGCCGUGGCGAACGGACG